Molecule: ribosomal RNA, 497 nt
Filed under: uncultured bacterium
Lineage: Bacteria
Description: partial 16S ribosomal RNA
Rfam family: Bacterial small subunit ribosomal RNA
Source: RNAcentral
GAUGAACGCUGGCGGCGUGCCUAAUACAUGCAAGUCGAGCGAACGGACGAGAAGCUUGCUUCUCUGAUGUUAGCGGCGGACGGGUGAGUAACACGUGGAUAACCUACAUAUAAGACUGGGAUAACUUCGGGAAACCGGAGCUAAUACCGGAUAAUAUUUUGAACCGCAUGGUUCAAAAGUGAAAGACGGUCUUGCUGUCACUUAUAGAUGGAUCCGCGCUGCAUUAGCUAGUUGGUAAGGUAACGGCUUACCAAGGCAACGAUGCAUAGCCGACCUGAGAGGGUGAUCGGCCACACUGGAACUGAGACACGGUCCAGACUCCUACGGGAGGCCGCAGUAGGGAAUCUUCCGCAAUGGGCGAAAGCCUGACGGAGCAACGCCGCGUGAGUGAUGAAGGUCUUCGGAUCGUAAAACUCUGUUAUUAGGGAAGAACAUAUGUGUAAGUAACUGUGCACAUCUUGACGGUACCUAAUCAGAAAGCCACGGCCAACUACGUG